CCUUCCUCAUGAUAAAAUAGUAUCUGUAAAACAUCAGUUUCAUGUCCUUCCUCAUGGUGAAAAAAGUAAGCCACAUAAAAAAUCAGUCAUUUCUUACCACUUACGUAGCGGUCCUGUUUCCCUCUGGUACGGACUCUAUGUUCACCCCGAACCAGAACAACCACAAACUGUGUUGAUGCUUCACUGCCAAACUAAAUGCACACACAGUUUACAAUAUGUCAUUUUGAGAACAAAUACUCCAUAUGAGUGAAAAGUUCUCGACAGGGGACGUUAAACAAGAUAAAAGAGAGCAUAUAAUCUGCCAUUUCUCUAUGCUUUGUGAUAAACAGGGUGAUAGUUAGGCCUAUAUGACUUCUGUAGUCUAUACAUGUAUCUUUCUGGCAUGCUAAGCCGUUCUUUACAUACCGAAUUUGACCACGGAUUACUCCUGAUCACCUGAUCAGGGUACAGGGCUUACGGCGAGUGUGACUGGUCAACAACGGAUGCUUACUCCUCCUGGGCACCUGUUCCCACCUCUGGUGUGUACAAGGGCCCGUGUUUGCCCUGGAAGUGAAGUACCACACAUUUUGACCUACAUUAGUAUGCUUGGCGCUCAGGGGCGUUGUAUUUGUGACUAGUAAUGUGCAAACUUCCGCCAGAGUUCGUUUGCUCACAAACCAAAUUCUUCCAGUUAGGCAUCAUGGGAUAACGACUUCUUAGGAACUACAAAACCUAAACUGGUUCCCCGCUGAUUGGUGCUACACAUGAGGUCAACAGGGUACCAAUUUACUACAAAACCAUGCGGCCACGUAUACUGUGUGACGUCAAUUUAGAAUGACGGAAAAACAUAACGUCAAACGUAAACAGUUCAAAUCAAGAACGUAAACAUCAAAUUCAUUACUUUACACCAUAAUUUGGACAGAGUCUCCCUACUUUUUAGUGAUUCAUUGAUCAUUCUGUUUAAAAUAAAAUCCAUACUUUUAUAUUA
Molecule: long non-coding RNA, 967 nt
Organism: Ostrea edulis (European flat oyster)
Lineage: Eukaryota; Metazoa; Mollusca; Bivalvia; Ostreida; Ostreidae
Exons: 2
Source: RefSeq, a predicted model, not a curated record